Molecule: ribosomal RNA, 490 nt
Filed under: uncultured bacterium
Lineage: Bacteria
Description: partial 16S ribosomal RNA
Rfam family: Bacterial small subunit ribosomal RNA
Source: RNAcentral
AUUGAACGCUGGCGGCAGGCCUAACACAUGCAAGUCGAACGGUAACAGGAAGCAGCUUGCUGCUUUGCUGACGAGUGGCGGACGGGUGAGUAAUGUCUGGGAAACUGCCUGAUGGAGGGGGAUAACUACUGGAAACGGUAGCUAAUACCGCAUAACGUCGCAAGCCCAAAGAGGGGGACCUUAGGGCCUCUUGCCAUCGGAUGUGCCCAGAUGGGAUUAGCUAGUAGGUGGGGUAACGGCUCACCUAGGCGACGAUCCCUAGCUGGUCUGAGAGGAUGACCAGCCACACUGGAACUGAGACACGGACCAGACUCCUACGGGAGGCAGCAGUGGGGAAUAUUGCACAAUGGGCGCAAGCCUGAUGCAGCCAUGCCGCGUGUAUGAAGAAGGCCUUCGGGUUGUAAAGUACUUUCAGCGGGGAGGAAGGGAGUAAAGUUAAUACCUUUGCUCAUUGACGUUACCCGCAGAAGAAGCACCGGCUAACUCCGUG